GAACCUUUCUCUGUGUUCUGUUAGAAAACUAUAUCUGAGGAAAGCUACACAAGCAGUGGUUCAGAGACCCAGAGAUGUACCUUAAGUUCCUAGAAGAGACACAUGAAAAAAUCUAAAAUCUUCAGUCAGGUUCCAGGUUGUUCAUCUACGCAUUCUACAGGAGCAAUGUUAAAUACCGGUAUGAGGUUUUCAACAAACAAAUGCAUUCAAGGCCAGGCUAUUAAGACUUGGAGACAUCAGUGUCUACAGAAGCAGCAAAGUACUUUGAAGUGUGUUUGUGAAGUUAGUGCAACUUGGAUAUCAUAAUAUCUAUUUAGUGCUAACCUGUGAAGCAUUUUUUUCUAUGACUAACAUUAUUGCAUUUUAUCUAUUUGAAAGAAUGAAUAACUCAGUCAUUAGAGAUUUUGAAACUUAGCACAUGAAAUAAACUGCUUUUUAAGGAAAA
Rattus norvegicus (Norway rat) is the source of this 445-nucleotide non-coding RNA. NCBI's taxonomy places the organism in Eukaryota, Metazoa, Chordata, Mammalia, Rodentia, Muridae. The record is from RefSeq and is a predicted model, not a curated record.